Small nuclear RNA from Phacochoerus africanus (Common warthog), 103 nucleotides. The record is from RefSeq and is a predicted model, not a curated record. Lineage: Eukaryota; Metazoa; Chordata; Mammalia; Artiodactyla; Suidae.
GCUCUUUUCAACAGCACACGUACUAAAAUCAGAAAGAAACAAGAGAUCAGCAUGGUGCCUGCACAAGAACAACACAUAAACUCGUGACACGUUCCCGAUUUUU